GAUAAAAUGAUGGGAUCUGAACAUAUUAUUUGGUCUUACCUUGUCUACAUUAUGUCUUCUUGAUUAAAACAAUGCUCUAUUUGUUAUGAACUUAAUACCUUAGAUGUAGGUUGGAUGAUGAUUGAUUGGUGGAGUAAUAGUAGUAGGAGUCAGUGAGGUUAAUAGUCCACUUAAAACAUAUGUAAUGCCUAUGUAUUGAUCAUGGCAUGAACAACGAGAUAGUUAUUUGAUG
RNAcentral lists this long non-coding RNA (232 nucleotides) under Hordeum vulgare. RNAcentral's name for it is "long non-coding RNA (HVUL_LNC011927)". Lineage: Eukaryota; Viridiplantae; Streptophyta; Magnoliopsida; Poales; Poaceae. The record is from RNAcentral.